This 502-nucleotide ribosomal RNA is filed under the name uncultured bacterium. RNAcentral describes it as "partial 16S ribosomal RNA". It matches the Rfam family "Bacterial small subunit ribosomal RNA", at positions 28 to 507 of the family's 1533-position model. The record is from RNAcentral.
GACGAACGCUGGCGGCGUGCUUAACACAUGCAAGUCGAACGGUGAAGGGGUCUGCUUUUGUGGGCCCUGGAUGAGUGGCGAACGGGUGAGUAACACGUGAGUAACCUGCCCCCUUCUUCUGGAUAACCGCAUGAAAGUGUGGCUAAUACGGGAUAUUCUGGGUCUGUCGCAUGAUGGGUCUGGGAAAGAUUGCGCCUUUGGGUGUUUUUGGUGGGGGAUGGGCUCGCGGCCUAUCAGCUUGUUGGUGGGGUGAUGGCCUACCAAGGCGGUGACGGGUAGCCGGGCUGAGAGGGUGGACGGUCACACUGGGACUGAGACACGGCCCAGACUCCCACGGGAGGCAGCAGUGGGGAAUAUUGCACAAUGGGCGCAAGCCUGAUGCAGCGACGCCGCGUGAGGGAUGGAGGCCUUCGGGUUGUAAACCUCUUUCGCCAGUGAAGCAGGCCUGCUCCUUGUGGGUGGGUUGACGGUAGCUGGAUAAGAAGCGCCGGCUAACUACGUG